GAUGAACGCUGGCGGCGUGCCUAAUACAUGCAAGUCGAGCGAACGGACGAGAAGCUUGCUUCUCUGAUGUUAGCGGCGGACGGGUGAGUAACACGUGGAUAACCUACCUAUACGACUGGGAUAACUUCGGGAAACCGGAGCUAAUACCGGAUAAUCUUUUGAACCGCAUGGUUCAAAAGUGAAAGACGGUCUUGCUGUCACUUAUAGAUGGAUCCGCGCUGCAUUAGCUAGUUGGUAAGGUAACGGCUUACCAAGGCAACGAUGCAUAGCCGACCUGAGAGUGUGAUCGGCCACACUGGAACUGAGACACGGUCCAGACUCCUACGGGAGGCAGCAGUAGGGAAUCUUCCGCAAGGGGCGAAAGCGUGACGGAGCAACGCCGCGUGAGUGAUGAAGGUCUUCGGAUCGUAAAACUCUGUUAGUAGGGAAGAACAUAUGUGUAAGUAACUGUGCACAUCUUGACGGUACCUAAUCAGAAAGCCACGGCUAACUACGUG
This 497-nucleotide ribosomal RNA is filed under the name uncultured bacterium. Its description in RNAcentral is "partial 16S ribosomal RNA". It matches the Rfam family "Bacterial small subunit ribosomal RNA", at positions 28 to 507 of the family's 1533-position model. The record is from RNAcentral.